AGUUCUUGCAGCCUUCUGGAGUGAUGUGUGUCUUGCUUGAAGCCUUCUGCUACUGCUUUGGUCGCACUUGGUGUAUCCUGCCCAUCUCAACUGUGACAAAUUCUGCAACAGCCUGGGAGAUCAGGUUUUGGGUUUAUGGCAGGGUGAAGAGGAUGGCAAGGAAUCCAGGGGAGUUCUACCUGAGAUCACCCCAUGGAAUCAGUCAGUGGCACUCAAAUUUUGUGGAAUUAUGUCAUUAUUUUGGACAGAGACUCUUUGGUUGGUGUAGGUGGGUCAAGUUGGCUUGGAGCAGCAAAGUGGAGUAAUCAGUGGGUUGUGGCUGAAAUCAGAACCAUGUAUCAGAGGCUGGUUUGAUCUUGUACGUCAGUUGUUACUACAAAAAAAAAAAAAAAAAGAAAAAAAAAGACUGCUUGGUUGAAAUUGAAGAUAAGAGGAAAAUCUCCUGAGGAAAGUGUGAGCUGGCCCUGGUUUUGUACAGCCAAGGGAGCAGCAGGUGGGCACAGCCUGGUGACAUCCCUGAUCCCUGUCCCUGCAGUGGCACCCAGAGCUGUGACACCCUGAAAGGGCACAGCCCCAACACAGGACAAAGAAACCCCAUCCAAGCCUGGUACUUGUGCUUGAGGUAAUCUUUUUCUGCACAUAAACUUCCUAAAAAAGAUCCAUUGGAUCUUCCCAAGCUGCACAGCAGAGAACAGGAUUUUGGAUCCCUGUGAAAUGGCAGAGCUCCUGGGGCUUUGGCAGAUCAGGAUUUCAGCUGUAUUUUCAAUAACUCCUGUGAUGUUUCUCCUGGAGGAUCACAUCUCUUGAGGGCAUGCUUGUCACGCCUGCCAUGGGUAAAUUACCUUGAAGGUGCUCUGCCAGAAAUCUCAUUCUGGGCUGUUCCACUUUGCUUCCUAAUGGCUGAAUGGUUGAGUUAUCUGUGGGAGCUUAGUCACAUCAAGAUACUGCUCAGAGCAAGCCUUGAUUCAUUUAGCUGCAUAGGAGGUUUUUGGGAGAUGAUGGCUUCAUCAUGAGUCAGUUCUUCAUUAUCACAUUCCUGGGAUGUUACACAGCAAUAUUGGAGCUGCCACGAGCAGGGGCAGAUGAAUGAUAGCAGAUGAGAUGGACCUUGUCUGUGAUAAUGGUGAACGUGUCACGCCUCAGACGGAUGCAAAGGGCCAAGUGCUGCAUCAGGCUGCUCAUGCAAGGAGACAGGAGCCUUCCCCAGCCCUGCCUGCACUCAGCUUAAAUAUAGAAAUGGGAAAGUGACUUUGCAGCUUGAUUUCUGCUACGCCUAACCAUGCCUAAUCAUUCUUUUUGAAAAGCUUGUUAAGGUAUUCUCGUCAAUUAGCACUUGUUUCAGUGAGCUUCACGGAUUAAUUAGAUGUUGCAUUACAAAAAUAAUUAUGCCUUUUAGCCAUUUUCAGUUAUUUACUUCCUUAAAUGUUGGGUUUGUGAGGCAGAGGCUGGCUUGGUGCCACAGUCAUUUGGGUAGAAUCUAACACAGAUUAAUGAGCAAACUUGAAAAGCAAGCAGUGAGUUCCCCAGUGUUUUGUAAUUAAGCAGUUUGAUUAAAAACAACUGGAACAACUCUGUGCACUGAGAAACAAAGUGGGAACAGCUCUCUGCACUGAGACCUCUGUAACAACAAGUAUCAAACCCAGGGCUGAAAGCAAUUUAAGGAGCUUGAAAGUUUUCUUGGCUACCUGAUGGUUUUGUCAGAGAAGUUUUUGAAGAGUAGGCAUUGAGGCAGUGCAGAUGUUCUUCCCCAGCCUUCAAACCCACAAUGACAGAGGGAUACACUGACUUUUUUUUGAGGCAGGAACUCAAAUGCUUGUCUUCACACGCUUGUGCUGCUCCAUGGGCACAGCCUGUGUAGUUAAAAGGAGCUGUAUUGUACUUUAGGCUUCUUUAAAAAAAUAAAAAAAUCAAACAAUUCUGCAGCA
Long non-coding RNA from Zonotrichia leucophrys gambelii, 1925 nucleotides. RefSeq lists it as uncharacterized. The record is from RefSeq and is a predicted model, not a curated record. The transcript has 4 exons. Lineage: Eukaryota; Metazoa; Chordata; Aves; Passeriformes; Passerellidae.